GAUGAACGCUGGCGGCGUGCUUAACACAUGCAAGUCGAACGGAAAGGCCUCAGCUUGCUGGGGUACUCGAGUGGCGAACGGGUGAGUAACACGUGGGUGAUCUGCCCUGCACUUUGGGAUAAGCUUGGGAAACUGGGUCUAAUACCGAAUAUGACCACUUCUUGGAUGUUGUGGUGGAAAGCUUUUGCGGUGUGGGAUGAGCCUGCGGCCUAUCAGCUUGUUGGUGGGGUAAUGGCCUACCAAGGCGGCGACGGGUAUCCGGCCUGAGAGGGUGUACGGACACAUUGGGAUUGAGAUACGGCCCAGACUCCUACGGGAGGCAGCAGUGGGGAAUAUUGCACAAUGGGCGCAAGCCUGAUGCAGCGACGCCGCGUGGGGGAUGAAGGCCUUCGGGUUGUAAACUCCUUUCAUCAUCGACGAAGGGCUCACUUGUUGUGGGUUUGACGGUAGGUGGAGAAGAAGCACCGGCUAACUACGUGCCAGCAGCCGCCGUAA
This 495-nucleotide ribosomal RNA is filed under the name uncultured bacterium. Its description in RNAcentral is "partial 16S ribosomal RNA". It matches the Rfam family "Bacterial small subunit ribosomal RNA", at positions 28 to 523 of the family's 1533-position model. The record is from RNAcentral.